CUGGGGAAUGAUAAAACAACACACCAAGAUUUACGUGGAAAACACAAAAUGGGAAAAACCACGGACAACCCAAAAACUUCCAUUAAUCACCAAGAAUAGUAGGCACACAAAGUGUUUCUCUCUAAUCUCACACCAGAGGCUCAACAUCAACAUUACAAGGGCGUUUCCUCACCACAAAGGUAGAACAAUACAAAAGAGAGCAAGAAACCCUAACCGCGAUUGGAGAAUUCGGAGACGAAUUUCAAUGGAUGAGACCAAUCAACUCGUAAAUCUCGGCCUCGUGAACAACAUACUCAAA
Molecule: long non-coding RNA, 298 nt
Organism: Rhodamnia argentea
Lineage: Eukaryota; Viridiplantae; Streptophyta; Magnoliopsida; Myrtales; Myrtaceae
Exons: 3
Source: RefSeq, a predicted model, not a curated record